AAGAAAUUGAAGAGGAACCUAUCAACAAAGCUGAAGUUCCAAGUCAUAGGACAGAUAAAUUGCAAGAUUGCAUAACAUCAAUAAUUGAAAUUGCACUCCAUUGCUCCAUGGACGAGCCAGAAGAACGUCUGACCAUAAGCGAUGUUGUGAGGGCACUACGUCUAAUCAAAGGCAAUUUUCUUGGAGCAAAAAUCUAUCAAUAAGGAGCAACUACUCUUGAUUCGAAGUUUCAAGAUCAGCUAUAAGGAUGGAAAACAGGACUCUAUGAUAAGGAUUGCAGCAAGCCACUAAAGCUUGAAGAUUGAUGAGAAACCAGUGUAGUUCGAUAUAAAGGAGACAUGAUCAAUUGUUUGAUGGAAGACAAUUAUAUAGAUUGGCCAAGCCUCUACUAAUAUGGGUAGUUUACUUGUUGGCUACCAUUUGUUUUGGGGAUAACAUAUCUAAGGUUUUAUAUAGUCUGGAUUUGCCUGCAGAGUUUUUAUGUUUUUUUGAUGUGGUGUUUCAUAAUAUAGUGCUUGUAUAUAUCAGCUCCUACUUUCUGUAGUCAUAACUAAAGCCGACAUCUUCAAAUGAAUAGAAGAAAAAUGAAAGCAUGGAAA
Molecule: long non-coding RNA, 599 nt
Organism: Macadamia integrifolia
Lineage: Eukaryota; Viridiplantae; Streptophyta; Magnoliopsida; Proteales; Proteaceae
Exons: 2
Source: RefSeq, a predicted model, not a curated record